Molecule: ribosomal RNA, 3138 nt
Filed under: Acinetobacter baumannii
Lineage: Bacteria; Pseudomonadati; Pseudomonadota; Gammaproteobacteria; Moraxellales; Moraxellaceae
Description: 23S ribosomal RNA
Rfam family: Bacterial large subunit ribosomal RNA
Source: RNAcentral
GUUGUAUAGUCAAGUAAUUAAGUGCAUGUGGUGGAUGCCUUGGCAGUCAGAGGCGAUGAAAGACGUGAUAGCCUGCGAAAAGCUCCGGGGAGGCGGCAAAUAUCCUUUGAUCCGGAGAUGUCUGAAUGGGGGAACCCACCUACUUUAAGGUAGGUAUUGCAACAUGAAUACAUAGUGUUGCAAGGCGAACGAGGGGAAGUGAAACAUCUCAGUACCCUUAGGAAAAGAAAUCAAUUGAGAUUCCCUCAGUAGCGGCGAGCGAACGGGGAUCAGCCCAUUAAGUUAUGUGUGUUUUAGUGGAACGCUCUGGGAAGUGCGAACGUAGAGGGUGAUAUUCCCGUACACGAAAGGGCACACAUAAUGAUGACGAGUAGGGCGAGGCACGUGAAACCUUGUCUGAAUAUGGGGGGACCAUCCUCCAAGGCUAAAUACUCCUGACUGACCGAUAGUGAACCAGUACCGUGAGGGAAAGGCGAAAAGAACCCCUGUGAGGGGAGUGAAAUAGAUCCUGAAACCGCAUGCAUACAAGCAGUGGGAGCACCUUCGUGGUGUGACUGCGUACCUUUUGUAUAAUGGGUCAGCGACUUAUAUUCAGUAGCAAGGUUAACCGUAUAGGGGAGCCGUAGAGAAAUCGAGUCUUAAUAGGGCGUUUAGUUGCUGGGUAUAGACCCGAAACCAGGCGAUCUAUCCAUGAGCAGGUUGAAGGUUGGGUAACACUAACUGGAGGACCGAACCCACUGUCGUUGAAAAGCCAGGGGAUGACUUGUGGAUAGGGGUGAAAGGCUAAUCAAGCCUGGUGAUAGCUGGUUCUCCCCGAAAGCUAUUUAGGUAGCGCCUCGGACGAAUACCAUAGGGGGUAGAGCACUGUUUCGGCUAGGGGGUCAUCCCGACUUACCAAACCGAUGCAAACUCCGAAUACCUAUGAGUACUAUCCGGGAGACAGACUGCGGGUGCUAACGUCCGUAGUCAAGAGGAAAACAAUCCAGACCGCCAGCUAAGGCCCCAAAAUCAUAGUUAAGUGGGAAACGAUGUGGGAAGGCAUAGACAGCUAGGAGGUUGGCUUAGAAGCAGCCACCCUUUAAAGAAAGCGUAAUAGCUCACUAGUCGAGUCGGCCUGCGCGGAAGAUGUAACGGGGCUAAAACUAUGUGCCGAAGCUGCGGAUUUGACAUUAGUCAAGUGGUAGGGGAGCGUUCUGUAAGCCGAUGAAGGUGUAUUGAGAAGUAUGCUGGAGGUAUCAGAAGUGCGAAUGCUGACGUGAGUAACGACAAAACGGGUGAAAAACCCGUUCGCCGAAAGACCAAGGGUUCCAGUCCAACGUUAANNNNNNUAUACUUUGUAUACGUGGUAGGGGAGCGUUCUGUAAGCCGAUGAAGGUGUGUUGAGAAGCAUGCUGGAGGUAUCAGAAGUGCGAAUGCUGACGUGAGUAACGACAAAACGGGUGAAAAACCCGUUCGCCGAAAGACCAAGGGUUCCAGUCCAACGUUAANNNNNNNNNNNNNNNNNNNNNNNNNNNNNNNNNNNNNNNNNNNNNNNNNNNNNNNNUCGGGGCUGGGUGAGUCGACCCCUAAGGCGAGGCCGAAAGGCGUAGUCGAUGGGAAAAUGGUUAAUAUUCCAUUACUUCUGUGUAAUGCGAUGAGAGGACGGAGAAGGCUAAAUCAGCCUGGCGUUGGUUGUCCAGGUGAAAGGAUGUAGGCAUGUAUCUUAGGCAAAUCCGGGGUACUCUAUGCUGAGAUCUGAUAGCAAGCUGUACUUGUACAGCGAAGUGGUUGAUGCCAUGCUUCCAGGAAAAGUCUCUAAGCUUCAGUUACACAGGAAUCGUACCCGAAACCGACACAGGUGGUCAGGUCGAGUAGACCAAGGCGCUUGAGAGAACUCUGCUGAAGGAACUAGGCAAAAUGGUACCGUAACUUCGGGAGAAGGUACGCUGUUGUUGGUGAUGGAACUCGCUUCCUGAGCUGACGACAGCCGCAGAAACCAGGCCGCUGCAACUGUUUAUUAAAAACAUAGCACUCUGCAAACACGAAAGUGGACGUAUAGGGUGUGAUGCCUGCCCGGUGCUGGAAGGUUAAUUGAUGGGGUUAGCGUAAGCGAAGCUCUUGAUCGAAGCCCCAGUAAACGGCGGCCGUAACUAUAACGGUCCUAAGGUAGCGAAAUUCCUUGUCGGGUAAGUUCCGACCUGCACGAAUGGCAUAAUGAUGGCGGCGCUGUCUCCAGCAGAGGCUCAGUGAAAUCGAAAUCGCUGUGAAGAUGCAGUGUACCCGCGGCUAGACGGAAAGACCCCGUGAACCUUUACUGCAGCUUGACACUGAACUUUGACCUUACUUGUGUAGGAUAGGUGGGAGGCUUUGAAGCUGGAACGCUAGUUCCAGUGGAGCCGUCCUUGAAAUACCACCCUGGUAAUGUUGAGGUUCUAACUCUGUCCCGUGAUCCGGGACGAGGACCGUGUCUGGUGGGUAGUUUGACUGGGGCGGUCUCCUCCUAAAGAGUAACGGAGGAGUACGAAGGUGCGCUCAGCGUGGUCGGAAAUCACGCGUAGAGUAUAAAGGCAAAAGCGCGCUUAACUGCGAGACCCACAAGUCGAGCAGGUACGAAAGUAGGUCUUAGUGAUCCGGUGGUUCUGUAUGGAAGGGCCAUCGCUCAACGGAUAAAAGGUACUCUGGGGAUAACAGGCUGAUACCGCCCAAGAGUUCAUAUCGACGGCGGUGUUUGGCACCUCGAUGUCGGCUCAUCUCAUCCUGGGGCUGAAGCAGGUCCCAAGGGUAUGGCUGUUCGCCAUUUAAAGAGGUACGCGAGCUGGGUUUAGAACGUCGUGAGACAGUUCGGUCCCUAUCUACCGUGGGCGCUGGAAAUUUGAGAGGAUCUGCUCCUAGUACGAGAGGACCAGAGUGGACGAACCUCUGGUGUACCGGUUGUGACGCCAGUCGCAUCGCCGGGUAGCUAUGUUCGGAAGGGAUAACCGCUGAAAGCAUCUAAGCGGGAAGCCUACCUCAAGAUAAGAUUUCCCUAGGACUUUAUGUCCUCUAAAGAGCCGUUCGAGACUAGGACGUUGAUAGGUUGGAUGUGGAAGCAUAGUGAUAUGUGAAGCUGACCAAUACUAAUUGCUCGUGAGGCUUGACUAUACAACACCCAAGCAGUUG